This 97-nucleotide ribosomal RNA is filed under the name Klebsiella aerogenes. The record is from RNAcentral. Lineage: Bacteria; Pseudomonadati; Pseudomonadota; Gammaproteobacteria; Enterobacterales; Enterobacteriaceae. RNAcentral also lists the same sequence under 5 other names.
GGUCCCACCUGACCCCAUGCCGAACUCAGAAGUGAAACGCCGUAGCGCCGAUGGUAGUGUGGGGUCUCCCCAUGUGAGAGUAGGGAACUGCCAGGCA